CCAGAAACCAGAUGAGCUACCUAUGGGCAGUCUUUAGGAUUAACUCAUCUAUGUGGCAGAAUAGUGAGAAGACCUGUAGGUAGCGAUGAAAAGCCAACUGAGCCUGGUGAUAGCUGG
This 117-nucleotide non-coding RNA is filed under the name Loxodonta africana (African savanna elephant). Its description in RNAcentral is "Bacterial large subunit ribosomal RNA". It matches the Rfam family "Bacterial large subunit ribosomal RNA", at positions 714 to 852 of the family's 2925-position model. Lineage: Eukaryota; Metazoa; Chordata; Mammalia; Proboscidea; Elephantidae. The record is from Rfam by way of RNAcentral.